RNAcentral lists this small nuclear RNA (107 nucleotides) under Aotus nancymaae (Ma's night monkey). Lineage: Eukaryota; Metazoa; Chordata; Mammalia; Primates; Aotidae. The record is from RNAcentral.
GUGCUCGUUUUGGCAGCAUAUAUACUAAAAUUGGAACGAUAUAGAGAAGAUUAGCAUGGCCCCUGCACAAGGAUGACAUGCAAAUUCGUGAAGCGUUAAAAAAUUUU